UGGGGUGGAGCUCAAUGGCAGAGGGCUUGCCUACUGAGUGCGAGGCGCUGGGUUCGAUCCUCAGCACCGCAU
This 72-nucleotide transfer RNA is filed under the name Marmota monax (woodchuck). RNAcentral describes it as "tRNA.Ser". The record is from RNAcentral. Lineage: Eukaryota; Metazoa; Chordata; Mammalia; Rodentia; Sciuridae.